This 388-nucleotide unclassified non-coding RNA is filed under the name soil metagenome. Its description in RNAcentral is "partial contains 5.8S ribosomal RNA, internal transcribed spacer 2, and large subunit ribosomal RNA". The stretch from base 1 to 120 matches the Rfam family "5.8S ribosomal RNA", at positions 35 to 154 of the family's 154-position model. The record is from RNAcentral.
GAUGAAGAACGCAGCGAAAUGCGAUAAGUAAUGUGAAUUGCAGAAUUCAGUGAAUCAUCGAAUCUUUGAACGCACCUUGCGCUCCUUGGUAUCCCGAGGAGCAUGCCUGUUUGAGUGUCAUUAAAUUCUCAACCUCACCAGUUUUGUAACGAGACAGGUGAAGGCUUGGAUGUGGGGGUUUUGCAGGCUGCCUCAGUGCUGGUCUGCACUCCUGAAAUGCAUUAGCGAGCCCAUAUUGAGCUUCCGUCUAUUGGUGUGAUAAUUAUCUACGCCGUGGAUUGGACUCAUGCUUGCUUCUAACCGUCCGCAAGGACAAUUUACUUGACCAAUUUGACCUCAAAUCAGGUAGGACUACCCGCUGAACUUAAGCAUAUCAAUAAGCGGAGGA